Non-coding RNA from Massospora cicadina, 69 nucleotides. Lineage: Eukaryota; Fungi; Entomophthoromycota; Entomophthoromycetes; Entomophthorales; Entomophthoraceae. The record is from the annotation of a GenBank genome assembly.
AUGUAGUCGAAUGGCCAAGGCAUUACCCUCCUAAGGCAGAGGCUGCAGGCUCGAGCCCUGCCUGGGGUA